AUCUGACCAAAAAUCAAACUGUGAAAUAACGGUAAAUGGAGAUCAAAACCAAGGAGGAGCUUCCGCCCAAGAGCUGAUGACAUCUACAAUGUCAGCAGAGCUAGCUGAAUCAUUCUAUGAAGACCUAGAGAGACAAAGAGAAGCAGAAAAAG
Long non-coding RNA from Saccostrea cuccullata (small rock oyster), 152 nucleotides. RefSeq lists it as uncharacterized. NCBI's taxonomy places the organism in Eukaryota, Metazoa, Mollusca, Bivalvia, Ostreida, Ostreidae. The transcript has 3 exons. The record is from RefSeq and is a predicted model, not a curated record.